GACGAACGCUGGCGGCGUGCCUAAUACAUGCAAGUAGAACGCACAGUUUAUACCGUAGCUUGCUACACCAUAGACUGUGAGUUGCGAACGGGUGAGUAACGCGUAGGUAACCUGCCUGGUAGCGGGGGAUAACUAUUGGAAACGAUAGCUAAUACCGCAUAAUAUUAAUUAUUGCAUGAUAAUUAAUUGAAAGGUGCAAUUGCACCACUACCAGAUGGACCUGCGUUGUAUUAGCUAGUAGGUGAGGUAACGGCUCACCUAGGCGACGAUACAUAGCCGACCUGAGAGGGUGAUCGGCCACACUGGGACUGAGACACGGCCCAGACUCCUACGGGAGGCAGCAGUAGGGAAUCUUCGGCAAUGGACGAAAGUCUGACCGAGCAACGCCGCGUGAGUGAAGGAGGUUGUCGGAUCGUAGAGCUCUGUUGUAAGGGAAGAACGGGUGUGAGAGUGGAAAGUUCACACUGUGACGGUAUCUUACCAGAAAGGGACGGCUAACUACGUG
This 505-nucleotide ribosomal RNA is filed under the name uncultured bacterium. RNAcentral's name for it is "partial 16S ribosomal RNA". It matches the Rfam family "Bacterial small subunit ribosomal RNA", at positions 28 to 507 of the family's 1533-position model. The record is from RNAcentral.